UGUUGUUGUGUAGCUGAAGCUCUGACUCACAUUUCAUAUGUGACCAAAGGAAACUUGGUGCUGUGUGACACACUUUAGAUUCUCUGCUGCUGCUUUGAACUCUUCAAACUAAAGAGCCAAACUGAUGAUUGACUGUGCAGCUCUGACAUGGCACCAAAUGUCCCUGUUAUCAGCUGCUGGAUGGACGUUAUCAGAGCUUUUUAGUCCCACACGGAUCACCAGGAGCUCCUCCUCGGUCUGCAAACAGGCUCAGCAGCUCUGAUCAUUCAUUGGAGUCAGCACAGAGUGUGGAGACAUCUAGUGGUCGUGGAGAGUAGCGCGAUCAAAGCUCUGCUGGUGAAUGUAGUUACUGUAAGGUCUCUGAUGGAGCUCUGUGAUUGGUGGAUUGUCCAAACUAAAUUAAGUUUCUUUGUCCUCUGAUAAACCAUGAAUGGACCGAUCAGCUGAUCAGCAGUCAGGACAUCAGUGUCGUGACACGAGUACUGGAUCAAAUGUGACCCUGAGCUUUGUUUUGACCAACAAAGUUCACAUCCUGCUUCUUCUUCCAGUUCAAACAUGCAAAAGUUCAUUGGUUUCCACAGCAGAGCCUGACACAGCGCUCCACGCCUUCUCCUCAUCACAUUUGUGCUUCCUGACGUGCAGCUGCUUCCUAAACUUCCAGACUUCUAACUUUAUUCAUAGGGAGGAGAUCACUCCACUGCACUGCAGACAGACUUCACACUUUCAUGAAUUCCUUCUAAGGCCUGAUGUGGCUUUGCUUCCUGCUACAGGACACAUUUAUUCACACCUUAUGAACCAAUCAGGAGCCUCCUACCUGUUCCCACAGCCGCCUCAUUAAUAAAAGGAAGUCAGUGUUUCUGUGAGCCGACGAGCUGAACUCAGACUUUUCGCUUAUGCCACGUCUUAUUUCUUUCUUUAUUGUAUUUAUUUAUUUGACCUGCACAGUGAUUUUAUUUCUAUAUGUAGAUAUUUGAUAUUCUGUAACUGAAGCUGUGUCCACGUUUGAUCUCAAAGUGACACAUGGACUCUGUCUGUGUCCUCAGUUUCCCAGCAUGCCUCGGCUGUGGAGCUGAGGGAGAGCUGUUUGUCCUGCUGCCCUGUGAGUUUCCCACUUUUGAACUGGACAGCCCCACAGUGGUGUGGAGUCGCUCCGACCUCAGUCCUCCAACCGUCCACCAGCAUCAAGGAGACGAACUGAAAGAUCCAAACCAGCGUUACAGCGGCCGAACAUCCAUGAAGACUGACGCUCUGGAAACUGGAGACCUCAGCCUGAACCUGACCAACCUCCACCUGUCUGACAGCGCCACCUACACCUGCUCCGUCAGAUCAUUUAGACUGAGAGAUGUCCCACUGCAGGUCAAAGAACCAUUUCCAUCCUGGGCCACAGCUCUGCUGGUUCUGCUGGUUCUGCUGGCUCUUCUGGUUCUCCUGGUUCUGCUGGUUCUCCUGGUUCUUCUGGUUGUCCUGGUUCUCCUGGUUCUUGUUCUCAUCGUCUCUGGAGGUCUUUUAUUUCAUUUCUGGCACUAUUUUAAGUCAGCUACAGCAGGACUGUGCGGUGACGCGCUGUCAGGAGGAGACAGGUCUGCGACAGGAGCCCCGCCCCCUUGUUCUUCUGGCCGGUGUGGUUUCCAUCCCGGAAGAGAAAUUCCUCUCCUGUUUCAGAUAAGGAACAUUUGCCCGCGUGUGGCUGGACUGUGGGAUUAUGGGAAUUUUAGCAUAUGGAAACAUUUGUUUAGCCUUUGUGUUGACAGUGUAGAGUUAUUUCUGCAGCAGGGUUUUAAGUGUGUUGAGACUCUUUUUAUUGUAUAGGGGAUUUAACCUGUAACUCUGGUUGUGUCUGUUUCCAUGGAAAUAAAUGGUGUGUUUAAGGCCAACUUAGUGUCUGUGCCCUGAGCACUGACCCACUCACUCCCCUUCUAUUUGUAUGUGAACGCACUUUGAGGUGCAGAUUUAGAUCCACCACUUUAAGCGGCUACACUAACACUCAGAGAGUCAGUUGGAGGUGGAGGAGGGGGCGGAGUCUGUCCGGCUGCCUGAGGACACUCAGGUGGAGUGGUGGCACCGUCCUGAGAAGCCUGACAAACAGCAGCAGCAUCACAGAGACCGAGUGAAAGAAAGACGAGCGUGUGAAAAGCGGACAGUUCAGCCUGACCCUUAAACACCCCACAGAGAGAGACAGAUACAGCUGUGUGGCCUGGAGCCAGGGAAACAUCAUCGGAUGGAGAGUCGUGCUGCUCACAGUUACAGGGACGGUUCAGGUCCAGGAUCAAACAUCAGGAACAGAAGCAGCUCCAUUGAUCCGAC
Oreochromis aureus is the source of this 2304-nucleotide RNA transcript. It is a transcript of the gene named myelin-oligodendrocyte glycoprotein-like, with no coding region annotated. The record is from RefSeq and is a predicted model, not a curated record. The transcript has 4 exons. Lineage: Eukaryota; Metazoa; Chordata; Actinopteri; Cichliformes; Cichlidae.